RNAcentral lists this ribosomal RNA (427 nucleotides) under uncultured Shewanella sp. Its description in RNAcentral is "bacterial SSU rRNA". It matches the Rfam family "Bacterial small subunit ribosomal RNA", at positions 353 to 772 of the family's 1533-position model. The record is from RNAcentral. Lineage: Bacteria; Pseudomonadati; Pseudomonadota; Gammaproteobacteria; Alteromonadales; Shewanellaceae.
AGUGGGGAAUAUUGCACAAUGGGGGAAACCCUGAUGCAGCCAUGCCGCGUGUGUGAAGAAGGCCUUCGGGUUGUAAAGCACUUUCAGUAGGGAGGAAAGGUUGUAAGUUAAUACCUUGCAGCUGUGACGUUACCUACAGAAGAAGGACCGGCUAACUCCGUGCCAGCAGCCGCGGUAAUACGGAGGGUCCAAGCGUUAAUCGGAAUUACUGGGCGUAAAGCGUGCGCAGGCGGUUUGCUAAGCGAGAUGUGAAAGCCCCGGGCUCAACCUGGGAAUUGCAUUUCGAACUGGCAAACUAGAGUCUUGUAGAGGGGGGUAGAAUUCCAGGUGUAGCGGUGAAAUGCGUAGAGAUCUGGAGGAAUACCGGUGGCGAAGGCGGCCCCCUGGACAAAGACUGACGCUCAGGCACGAAAGCGUGGGGAGCAAA